RNAcentral lists this ribosomal RNA (305 nucleotides) under uncultured bacterium. Its description in RNAcentral is "bacterial SSU rRNA". It matches the Rfam family "Bacterial small subunit ribosomal RNA", at positions 335 to 657 of the family's 1533-position model. The record is from RNAcentral.
GUCCUACGGGGGGCAGCAGUGGGGGAUAUUGCACAAUGGAGGGAACUCUGAUGCAGCGACGCCGCGCGAGGGAAGAAGGUUUUCGGAUUGUAAACCUCUGUCUUCGGUGACGAAACGAGACGGUAGCCGAGGAGGAAGCCACGGCUAACUACGUGCCAGCAGCCGCGGUAAUACGCAGGUGGCAAGCGUUGUCCGGAAUUACUGGGUGUAAAGGGAGCGCAGGCGGGAAGCCAAGUCAGCUGUGAAAACUACGGGCUUAACUUGUAGACUGCAGUUGAAACUGGUUUUCUUGAGUGAAGUAGAGG